RNAcentral lists this long non-coding RNA (1806 nucleotides) under Erythranthe guttata (spotted monkey flower). RNAcentral's name for it is "long non-coding RNA (EGUT_LNC002316)". The record is from RNAcentral. Lineage: Eukaryota; Viridiplantae; Streptophyta; Magnoliopsida; Lamiales; Phrymaceae.
GAGAAAAAAAUUCUUAGUAACAUUUCAUAAUCAAAACCAAAACUAGAAAUAUCAUCAAAUAUAUUACAUAAGAAUAUUAUAGCUAACUUCAAAGUAUAGUACCUCCGUGUACACAUCUUCAAAAAUAUCUAAAUGAGUAUUGCAUCAAUAAUCAUAUAGUCGAAAUACAAGUUGGUUUCGUCAUGUUGCACAUUCAACUGUGGUAUCCAAAAACCUGCAAACAUAAGCACAAUUCAAAUUUUAUUACCCGAACGUAAAUCUAAUAAGAUCCUAAAAGAAUUUUAACAACAUAACUAUUUAACUACUCAUAAGCUAAAAUUAACGAUUAGAAAAUUAAAAUAUGGCUCACUUAAGUGCAAAUAUUAUAUAUUGGUAACUAGUGCAAAGACUAAGUUUAUCAUUCACAAUUUCUAUAUAAGAUAAUUGGGAAUUGAAAGUUCGAAGCUAGUUUGCAAAUACCUAGUUUUAAUGCAGAACAUGGCCAGGAAAUCCAUUAAACAUAUCAAUCGAAACAGCCAAGUAUUGCUAGAAUGAAUCGUUUACAUGAGUUGAAAAGUGUGUAAAAAAUACCUAGUUUUAGUCUCAAGCAGCUCAGUCCAGCUGACCAAAUCUCAUGACCUGAUUCCACAUGUGUGAGAUACAGUCUGAACAAAUAAGAUACUUUAGCAAUCAGAUGAUCAAGGCUUAACUAAAAAGCAUAAACGUAAGCUCAAAUAUUGAUAUAAACAUUGACUUUUGAUGUAAGAGGUUAUGCAUUGACAUUAACAAUGAAUGUAUACAGCCACAGCCUAAAGAAGUCAAAGAACUUGUCUCUUCAAGAAAAAUAACAAGUCAACUUUACAUUCUAAUAAUUUGUAUUUAAACGGAAAUUGGAAGAAUCCAACAUAUCAAAAUAGAUAUCCAAUAAUAAUAGGAAGACUAUUUAUCAUCAUAUCUUCUAGACAUCACAACCAUGGGUCCAAUUAUUUUGAUGUAUGGGCAUAGUACAAGAAAACGGUGUUCUCCAUAUAGCCCAGAGGCUAUUUUGAAACUGAAUAAUUGUCUUAAAAUGGAUUCAAGGGGUCAUCCAUGUGAGAAGUAGGGCAUACACAUUCCUACAACAUCCACAAACUAUCUCUUAUCUAAAUCUCUUAGAAUCUCAUGAGAUAUUUUCAGUUUGCCCAGUUGCCUCAUAAAAUUAAUCUAACAAUAUAUAAGCAACAAAUGGCAUUAAAACCAUUAAUGAAAACCUCUCCAUUUAAUACCUCAUCAAACAUUGUAGUUAGGGAUGCUUUCCUUCGCAACUAGCCAAGUAAAACAGUCACAAAUUGAGUCAAAAAGUUCUGAAUGCAUAGAAGGAAAAAAUGGAAGUAAAUCUUAAUCAAUUCAUUCUUAAUAAAUCAAAUUGAAAGGAAUCAAUGACGGUUCUCGUAAGCAAAGAUUAUCCCCGAACAAUGUAAGAUGAUUUUACUAAAUCUAUUAAGAAACUAGUGAAAUGAUUCCGACCUAACAAUUUAUCACUUACGAGAAAAAAGCGAACUAUAUUAGGAGAAUCCCUUAAUUUGAGAAACAAUGCUUUUCUGCAAACGAUUAAAGAUAAAAACAAUACCUUAAACAACAGUUCUGCAACUUCGCCCAAUAGCCUCUACCGCCGCCGCCGGUGAUGAAGUCGUCAAAUAAGCAGGUGUUGGAGGUGAUAUUGUGGUGUGCGAUGCGGUGGUGUGCGAUGGUCGAAUCGGAAAGGGCUGCGACUGUGUGUGCGAUGGUGGAAUCACGGCGGCGACUGUGUGCACAAUGUGUAAAAUGAAACCCUAGGCACUUCUUUCG